RNAcentral lists this long non-coding RNA (3012 nucleotides) under Salmo salar (Atlantic salmon). RNAcentral's name for it is "lncRNA (ENSSSAG00000088992.1)". The record is from RNAcentral. Lineage: Eukaryota; Metazoa; Chordata; Actinopteri; Salmoniformes; Salmonidae.
UUUGGCAGCCAAUAAAAAUUUACCCCACCUGGGAGAUCAACGAAUCAGAUUCCGAUGUCCCAGACGAACAGGAAGUUUACAAUCGUUGUUGACACACGAGCUACACAUUUAGGUACAAUUUCUUAGCGAAAAUUGUUGCUUUUUGUCUAAACAAAGAAAACAUGGUUUGCGACAAUUGUGAGAAAAAGCUGGGCAGGGUGAUAACUCCAGACACCUGGAAGGAUGGAGCGAGAAACACUACAGGUUACAGAAUUUUGUAUUACAAUGUUUAGAAUUCUUUGAUACUCAUUAUUCAUUACAGUAUUGUAUUAUGUUUAUUAGAGAGCGGUGGGCGGAAGCUGAACGAGAACAAGGCUCUGACAUCUAAGAAGGCCAGGUUUGAUCCUUAUGGGAAGCCAGGAAAGUCAGGCUUUGGCAUCUGCAGAAUCUGCAAGAGCUCUGUUCACCAAUCAGGAUCUCACUACUGCCAGGGCUGUGCCUACAAGAAAGGUACUACCGUAAAUUCCGGACUAUAAGCCGCAACUUUUUUCCCAGCUUUGAACCUCGCGGCUUAAACAAUGACGCGGCUAAUAUAUGGAUUUUUCCCGCUUUCAAUUUUUUUUCUGCAAAAAAACAUUCUGUGACGUGCUCAGUUUUUUGGCGGCAUGAAGCUUUCAUUAGACCAAUGAAAUUGCCGAACGGUUAAGGUCAAACAACUUUUUUGUUUACUGUUUAGAUUAAAUCGAGCGCUCUCAAACUUCCCAUCAUUCUGAUUACGGUAGUCAUUUUGUCACCCUCAUCAUGGCAAAGACACAGAGAAAUGCAUAUGAUGCAGUUUUCCAGUUGAAGGUGAUUGAUCUGGCUGUUGGAAAAGGAAAUAGAGCUGCUGCACGGGAGCUUGGUCUUAAUGAGUCGAUGAUAAGACGUUGGAAACAGCAGCGUGAGGAAUUGACUCAGUGCAAAAGACAACUAAAGCUUACUGCAAUUUUUUUAUUUUUUGUUACAAGCCGUGUUUCGUUAAAGCCUAUUUAUUUUUGUUACAAGCCGUGUUUCGUUAAAGCCUGUGUAAAGUUCAUUUGUUUCAAUGUACUGGUAGGCACCUGCGGUUUAUAGACAUGUGCGGCUUAUUUAUGUUCAAAAUAAUAAAACAUUUUAAAUUCAGUGGGUGCGGCUUAUAUUCAGGUGCGCUUAAUAGUCCGGAAAUUACGGUAUAUCUACCUAAGCACACACACCAUGUUUUAUUACAUUUUGGUUGCUCUUUCAGAAGCAAAUUGUGUGACACUUUCACCUGAUAACAAUCUCCCUUAUCUCCCUUUUUCUUUCUCAGGUAUCUGUGCCAUGUGUGGGAAAAAGGUUCUGGACACCAAGAACUACAAGCAGACCUCUGUCUGACAGGCUUCUGACAGGCCACCAGGAUGACCGGAGAGAGGGAGAGGGGAGGAAGGUGUGCACGAGGAAUGACGACUUUAUCCUGUUGUUUAGACCCCCUGUCUAAAACACUCAUAGCAGAGUUGCAGUCAAGGGGUUUUUACUCUGUGUGUGUGUGUGUGUGUGUGUGUGUGUGUGUGUGUGUGUGUGUGUGUGUGUGUGUGUGUGUGUGUGUGUGUGUGUGUGUGUGUGUGUGUGUGUGUGUGUGUGUGUGUGUGACAGAUGUGGAGCAGGGUUUCCCUCCCUAUUGUAAAGCUCCUAUAAUUUUCAGCUUUGUAGCAGCAAUACGUGGCCAGCACUGUUCCACACACCAAAUCGGAGACUACUUUUAGUUUUAAUAGCUGAACUGAUGGUUUCUCUCCUGUUGUGUAAAAUCUGCUCUGAUACAGGAGUUUCCUUUUAUUGAUUCUUUGUGAAUUAUAUCAAGUGUUAUGUUUUGAGUGCAUAAAAAUAUUCAAUAUGUAAUGGCAAUGACAGGAUUAUUUAUUACUUUUGUGUAGUUUCAGACGAAAAGCAUAACAAGUAUGUCUGUUCAAUGUACAUGGUCUUCUUAUUCAGUAGGCAUGAUCACGAGUCAUUACCCUCUUCUGUGUCUUGCCGUGUUCACGUGCUAGUCGUUUUCUCUGAGAUUUCUGACUGUCUAACUGGUUUAACACGGCACAUGUAUAACUACAACCAGCUAGCUAGUCAGAAAUUUCUUGAGUUUCCUAAUUCCGACUAGCAUGUGAACGUGGGAUCUCUGUCAGCUCUAUGCCCCACAGGGAUUGGUUUAGAACCUCUGACAUCAUCAUGAUGUGACACAGCAUGCUGUAACUUCCUGUGCAACCCAGGGUCAGGUUAGAGAACAGAGGUUGGCUAAGUCAUUGACAUUUAAAUGUCCUGUCUACCCUCAGGCUCUCCACUCUACCCCACCAUACACACAUCCAGCCUGUUACACAGAAAGGAAGAGCCAAACCACUACCGUCGUAGUGAUAUUGUUUUAUUGAGAACACACGAUUCAUGAAAACAAAUAUGGCAACAUAGAGAGAGGAAAACAUUGUUGCACAUAUUAAGAAAAAAACAGGAAUACUUUCCUAAUAUUGAGUUGCACCCCCUUUUGCCCUCAGAACAGCCUCAAUUCGCCAGGGCAUGGACAACAAGGUGUUGAAAGAGUUCCACAGAGAUGUUGGUCCAUGUUGACUCCAAUGCUUCCCAUAGUUGUGUCAAGUUGGCUGGAUGUCCUUUGGGUGGAGUACCAUUCUUGAUACACACAGGAAACUGUUGAGUGUGAAAAACCCAGCAGUGGUGCAGUUCUUGACACAGUCAAACCAGUGCGCCUGGCACCUACUACCAUACUCAGUUCAAAAGCACUGAAAUAUUUUGUCUUGCCCAUUCACCCUCUGAAUGGCACACACACACAAUCCAUGUCAAUUAUCUCAAGGCUUAAAAAUCCUUCUUUAACCUGUCUCCUCCCCUUCAUCUACACUGAUUGAAGUGAAUUUAAAAGGUGACAUCAAUAACGAAUCAUAGCUUUCAGCUGGAUUCACCUGCUCAGUCUGUCAUGGAAAGAGCAGGUGUUCUUAAUGUGUUGUACAUCUAUAGUAGGACACGUUGGCUUACAUGGGG